Molecule: ribosomal RNA, 524 nt
Filed under: uncultured bacterium
Lineage: Bacteria
Description: partial 16S ribosomal RNA
Rfam family: Bacterial small subunit ribosomal RNA
Source: RNAcentral
GACGAACGCUGGCGGCGUGCCUAAUACAUGCAAGUCGAGCGCAGGAAAUCGACGGAACCCUUCGGGGGGAAGUCGACGGAAUGAGCGGCGGACGGGUGAGUAACACGUAAAGAACCUGCCCUCAGGUCUGGGAUAACCACGAGAAAUCGGGGCUAAUACCGGAUGGGUCAUCGGACCGCAUGGUCCGAGGAUGAAAGGCGCUUCGGCGUCGCCUGGGGAUGGCUUUGCGGUGCAUUAGCUAGUUGGUGGGGUAAUGGCCCACCAAGGCGACGAUGCAUAGCCGACCUGAGAGGGUGAUCGGCCACACUGGGACUGAGACACGGCCCAGACUCCUACGGGAGGCAGCAGUAGGGAAUCUUCCACAAUGGACGAAAGUCUGAUGGAGCAACGCCGCGUGAACGAUGAAGGCCUUCGGGUCGUAAAGUUCUGUUGUAAGGGAAGAACAAGUGCCGCAGGCAAUGGCGGCACCUUGACGGUACCUUGCGAGAAAGCCACGGCUAACUACGUGCCAGCCGCCGCCGUAA